AGGGGUAAACUGAAAAACCNGAAAGGUCGAAGGAAAAAAUUCAUUCGCGUCUCGAAAUAAACUACAGUUAUUGAUGUGUGACGGAUAGUUUCCGAAUGUCCCGCACCCUUUGACUGUUGAAUCUGCCACGAACGUGUGCACUUUUCUUCUGGUAGGACGUCGCGAUCUGUUGAGUGUCGGUCUACGACUUUUGGUGGUGCCCAUUUGUUGCUCUUUUGAGUUUUGCGAAUGAACCCAAAUUUUCUGGCCGACUUGCUUGACAGUAUAAGAUGUGGUUCUAGGCCGCUUUUUUUUAAGCGUUCGACCCAAUGCAAGCUCACGAGUUGUGUUUAGCGAUCGGACCUAGUGCCGAUUCUAAUCGCUUGUGGUUGUUGGUGUUGGUGUUCUUGAACAGUGCCUUAAACCGAUCAGCGACGCUAUAGCUUUGGGUAAUUUCAGGACCCGUCUUGAAACACGGACCAAGGAGUCUAGCAUGUACGCAAGUCAUUGGGAAUUACUAAACCUAAAGGCGAAAUGAAAGUAAAGAUCUUUCUUGUAGAGAUCGAGGGAAGAUGAGCGGUUUGAUUUGUUCGGCCGUUCAGCAUUCCCGGGGCGUUUCAUUCUCAUUGCGAGAAGAGGCGCACCAAGAGCGUACAUGCUGGGACCCGAAAGAUGGUGAACUAUGCCUGGUCAGGACGAAGUCAGGGGAAACCCUGAUGGAGGUCCGUAGCGAUUCUGACGUGCAAAUCGAUCGUCGGAACUGGGUAUAGGGGCGAAAGACUAAUCGAACCAUC
This 773-nucleotide ribosomal RNA is filed under the name Hapalogenius oblongus. Its description in RNAcentral is "eukaryotic LSU rRNA". It matches the Rfam family "Eukaryotic large subunit ribosomal RNA", at positions 386 to 944 of the family's 3401-position model. Lineage: Eukaryota; Metazoa; Arthropoda; Insecta; Coleoptera; Curculionidae. The record is from RNAcentral.